This 70-nucleotide transfer RNA is filed under the name Ovis aries (sheep). It matches the Rfam family "tRNA". Rfam says of the family: Transfer RNA (tRNA) molecules are approximately 80 nucleotides in length. Their secondary structure includes four short double-helical elements and three loops (D, anti-codon, and T loops). The record is from Rfam by way of RNAcentral. Lineage: Eukaryota; Metazoa; Chordata; Mammalia; Artiodactyla; Bovidae.
CCCCAUGUGGCUCAGCGGUAAAGAAUCUGCCUUCAAAGCUGGAGACCAGGGUUCAAUCCCUGGGUUGGGA